CCUACGGGUGGCAGCAGUGGGGAAUAUUGGGCAAUGGGCGCAAGCCUGACCCAGCAACGCCGCGUGCAGGAAGAAGGCUUUCGGGUUGUAACCUUCUUUUAUGAGGGAAGAGCAGAAGACGGUACCUCUUGAAUAAGCUACGGCUAACUACGUGCCAGCAGCCGCGGUAAUACGGAGGUGGCAAGCGUUGUUCGGAUUUACUGGGUGGAAAGGGCGUGUAGCCGGGCUGACAAGUCAGAUGUGAAAGCCCGGGGCUCAACUCCGGGUCUGCUUUUGAAACUGUAUGGCUAGAUUGCAGGAGAGGCGAGUGGAAUUCCUAGUGUAGCGGGGAAAUGCGUAGAUAUUAGGAGGAACACCAGUGGCGAAGGCGGCUUGCUGGACUGUAAAUGACGCUGAGGCUCGAAAGCGUGGGGAGCAAACAGGAUUAGAUACCCCAGUAGUC
RNAcentral lists this ribosomal RNA (442 nucleotides) under uncultured bacterium. RNAcentral's name for it is "partial 16S ribosomal RNA". It matches the Rfam family "Bacterial small subunit ribosomal RNA", at positions 338 to 795 of the family's 1533-position model. The record is from RNAcentral.